Molecule: long non-coding RNA, 1282 nt
Organism: Dermacentor andersoni
Lineage: Eukaryota; Metazoa; Arthropoda; Arachnida; Ixodida; Ixodidae
Source: RefSeq, a predicted model, not a curated record
AAAAGCGUUGCUGAGCAGUUGCUGUCUUUUGUCUUCAAUGUUUGACUGGUUGGAACGCUUAGAACGGUGAAUGGCGUAUAGCUCACAUUAAAGCCGCGGAUAUAGACCGGUGUAACGCGGGCGCGCACCACGCACGACACAGUUACGCUACGUCGGCGCAAAGCGGACGCUCUCGCGUUACGGAAGCCACUAGCGUCACCACGCAGCCAGCGUGACUGGCGGAAUUCGGCGCGCUUUGGCGCGGCCAGCGUGGGAGUGGAACAUUUCUUAUCUCGCGCCAGAGCCGCUAGACCAGAGUGCAUCGCGCGCAAGCUUGGCUGGCCGGCUUUCAGUUCGGGUGCAAAGGAGAGAUGGAGCUGAGUUUGCGGGCCUCUGACAAACGAAAAAGGGUUCGCUAGCCACGCCCGUGUGCGCAUGCGCUAGGGCAACAGCUCAUCGCUACACUGCGGCGGGCCACGUUCAACGCGCUGAAAUGUACAGGGGCCAAAUUUUCGGCGACCCUGUCGUCACCGGCGUGCUGCCUCCGACUUUGCCGUCUGCUACAUGGCACCCUGGAAACGCCGGUCCGUAUCCGCGCCUUAAAGGUGGCCACCGUCCGUGCUUAUCGUUUUUGUGAGACCAAUAUUUCACCCGGAUUGGGGGAGAGGGCGAAAGCAGACAUGGAGGGGUGAUUUUUGAAACAGGAACAGCAGGAUGCUCUCCGUUUAGAUCGACGCUAGUGUCCAGCCUGGGAGCGCGCUUUUUCAUGAACUGGAGCGUUGUGGCUCAUACUGAGCGUGACAGAACCGCGAAGACUCUUUUGUGUUUCGUUCUCUUGCCAAGACUACCGGAGAGCCGCUUCUUAACUGCACCAUAGUCGGCAAAGCACACGUGCGGCAGAAAAGGUACAUCACACAAGCGACAAUUACUGGACGCCACAAAAACGUCUCUUGAAGAUAACCAAGUCCUGGUCUCCGCAGGCGGAAUAGAACACCCUUAAGAGUUUUCCCACGAGUAAGCUGCAACUAGACGCGACAUCGUUGGGUCGUCUCUAGUUCGGACCUUGGCAAAACGCUGAAUCUGAAGCUGAUCCGUCACUCCUAGAGAAAGGUACUCUUAAUCACGCCAGCAUUGUGACUGCCUGUGCUCGCAGUCAUUGAGUGAACGCUCUUCAUGUGUGUCCUUGGACGCGAGACACCACAUGUGUUCGGAGGGCCAGUCCAAGAAAGGAAAGCAAACGACGUAUCUUGUAAUACCUCCAUUGUGCGGAGCUUGAAUGAUUCUAAUAAAAUGCAUCGCUGGG